UCCAGGAUAGCCUAGUUAACAUGGCACCUGCCCGGUAAGCAGAAGGUUGUGGGUUCGAUUCCCGCUCCUGGAC
Molecule: transfer RNA, 73 nt
Filed under: Cordylochernes scorpioides
Lineage: Eukaryota; Metazoa; Arthropoda; Arachnida; Pseudoscorpiones; Chernetidae
Description: tRNA-Thr
Rfam family: tRNA
About the family: Transfer RNA (tRNA) molecules are approximately 80 nucleotides in length. Their secondary structure includes four short double-helical elements and three loops (D, anti-codon, and T loops). Further hydrogen bonds mediate the characteristic L-shaped molecular structure. tRNAs have two regions of fundamental functional importance: the anti-codon, which is responsible for specific mRNA codon recognition, and the 3' end, to which the tRNAs corresponding amino acid is attached (by aminoacyl-tRNA synthetases). tRNAs cope with the degeneracy of the genetic code in two manners: having more than one tRNA (with a specific anti-codon) for a particular amino acid; and 'wobble' base-pairing, i.e. permitting non-standard base-pairing at the 3rd anti-codon position.
Source: RNAcentral